CCUACGGGGGGCUGCAGUCGAGAAUAGUCUACAAUGGACGAAAGUCUGAUAGUGCGACGCCGCGUGAACGAAGAAUCCCUUCGGGGUGUAAAGUUCUUUUAUAUGUGAGCAAUGCCUUGUAUGUGAAUAGCAUACAGGGAGAGAUAUUAGCAUAUGAAUAAGCAACGGCUAACUCCGUGCCAGCAGCCGCGGUAACACGGGGGUUGCAAGCGUUGUCCGGAAUUACUAGGCGUAAAGGGCAGGUAGGCGGAUCUAUAAGUUUGAUGUUAAAAGCAGCGGCUCACCCGCUGUACGGCUUCAGAUACUGUAGAUCUGGAAUACGGUUGAGGAAGACAGAAUUCCUGGUGUAGCGGUGGAAUGCGCAGAUAUCAGGAGGAAUACCAAAGGCGAAGGCAGUCUUCUAAGCCGGUUAUUGACGCUAAACUGCGAAGGUGUGGGUAGCAAACAGGAUUAGAUACCCCUGUAGUC
This 468-nucleotide ribosomal RNA is filed under the name uncultured bacterium. RNAcentral describes it as "bacterial SSU rRNA". It matches the Rfam family "Bacterial small subunit ribosomal RNA", at positions 338 to 795 of the family's 1533-position model. The record is from RNAcentral.